AAAGAUUAAGCCAUGCAUGUGUAAGCACAUGCCUUAAAACGGUAAAGCCGCGAAUGGCUCGGUAUAACAGCCACUGUUUAUUAAACUCUAGUUAUCUACUUGGAUAACUGUGGCAAUUCUAGAGCUAAUACAUGCACGCAGGCUCGGACCUUUUGGGAAGAGCGCAUUUAUUAGACCAAAACCAAUCGGGCUUCGGCCUGUGUUUUGGUGACUCUGAAUAACUAAGUCGAUCGCACAGUCUUAGUACUGGCGACGUAUUUCUCAAAUGUCUGCCUUAUCAACUUUCGAUGGUAGGUUAUACGCCUACCAUGGUUAUAACGGGUAACGGAGAAUUAGGGUUCGACUCCGGAGAGGGAGCCUGAGAAAUGGCUACCACAUCCAAGGAAGGCAGCAGGCGCGCAAAUUACCCAAUCCCAGAACGGGGAGGUAGUGACGAAAAAUAACGAGGUAAUCCACUUUGUGGCUUGCCAUCGGAAUGGGCACAAUAUAAAUCUUUUAACGAGGAUCUAUUAGAGGGCAAGUCUGGUGCCAGCAGCCGCGGUAAUUCCAGCUCUAAUAGUGUAUAUUAAAAUUGUUGUGGUUAAAACGCCCGUAGUUGGAUCUUCGGUCUUGAAGCUCGGUAGCCCGUAAGGGCUUAACUGAGUCUUCUGGCCUCGAUUCUAGUUUUCUCCUGAUGCUCUUUAUUGAGUGUCUCGAGUAGCUAGGAAUUUUACUUUGAAAAAAUUAGAGUGCUAAAAGCAGGCUAUACGCUUGAAUAAAGUGCAUGGAAUAAUGGAAUACGACUUUAGUCUUAUUUUGUUGGUUUUCGAGAUUAAAGUAAUGAUUAAGAGGAACAGCCGGGGGCAUUUGUAUUGUUGCGUUAGAGGUGAAAUUCUUGGAUCGCAGCAAGACAAACAACUGCGAAAGCAUUUGCCAAGAAUG
This 921-nucleotide ribosomal RNA is filed under the name Clarkus sp. PDL-2005. RNAcentral's name for it is "SSU rRNA". It matches the Rfam family "Eukaryotic small subunit ribosomal RNA", at positions 39 to 966 of the family's 1831-position model. Lineage: Eukaryota; Metazoa; Nematoda; Enoplea; Mononchida; Mononchidae. The record is from RNAcentral.